UUUUUGUAGAAGUCCAGAGUCACUUCCUUCUGAUAAAGUGAUAUGUAUGCCUGGGAAAAUGAUUUCUGGGUAAGAGCAAGGUGUGGCUCAGUGAUAUAACUGCCCUGGCUGGUCAUGUGCUAGGAACCCCGAGCAGCAGGAAAGCUUAAACGCUGCUGUUUCCUGCAGGGCCUGUCAUUACCAGGAGAAGAAUGGGAAGAAAAAGAGGCAGAAAUACCAAAACUUGGUUAUGGUAACAGGAUACAAUUAGAAGGGGGAAAAUUAUUUCCCGCUUCAAUAUCAUAGGAAACAUACAUGGACUCCGGGGUGGGGGCUGAGAAAAGGUGCUGUGAAUUGGCCCUGCACACCAGGUAAUGAGUCACUAGAGAAAAUGUGCUUACGUUGUGUUUCAUGUUUGCAGGAGACUCGUGAUCUCUUGUUGUUCUGGUGACAGUUGCUCACAAUUUGCCAAACUUUGGAGUUUAAAUAAAAAUAACAGGCACACAACCCACCCCCACCUCUGUCCAGGACUAUACAGAGAACAAACCAAGGAGUAUUAAGUUCCAUAUUUCUGAACAAAACAAGACAUGGAGAAUUUAUGAUAUGGAGCUUAUGAAGAGAUAUAAUACCUUGGACAAGCUGGAAGAUCAAAGCUACCCCACAUUUCCUUCACAGCACCACAGUAUUACAAAAAUAAACCAACUAACCAACAAAACCCAAACCCUAAACCUAAAGCCUCUGAUAUCAAAUGGCCCAUUAUCAAUAGUUGUAUGGUAAUUGUAUUUUUUUAUGUAUUUCUUAAAGCUCUACCUUAAAAAUAAAGCUCCAUCAAAACAAAAGCCAAACCGCAACCAGACCUCAACACAGUUUUCAAGAUGUUGUUUGCACUAAGUAUUUGAAGUUACAGAAUGAUGCCACAUCUUAAGUGGCAUCAUUGUGUGCAGAAUAACACAACUGAAAUUGAGGCAAUUGCUUUUUUCUUGCCCAUGAGACCACACGCUCUAUUCACCUACUCUAUAAUAUAGUCUCAAAAUCCCCUUUUUCUGUGACUAUGAUCAGCUGAGAGCCCAUCACCCGUAAGUAACUAUACUUUUUCUGUGCAUUAAACUUCAUUUAUCUAUACUGUAUUUCAUCUGCCAUUUUAUCACCCAGACACUUCACCCCUAUACACGUUGUCCCCCUCCUGUCUUUUCCACCAAAGUGAAAUUUGAUCAUCCACCUCCUUUCUACACAAAUGACAAAAGCUGCAAUAACACAGGUCUUAGACUCACUGAAAACCUUGGAGCUUAUUUCUCUUUCCUCUACUUUACCCAGUUUUUAACUAACAAGGACCACUAUUUUCUUCUGGCACAUCUGACCCCGAGUCCCCUGAAUACCUGCAAGAAAUUAAGACUAAUUAAGACUACCUUUUGCUAAAUGGACAAUACAUAUUUGUGCAGCAUUUAGAAGAACACACCACCAGAACAAGAAGACUGGUUAUCAGAAGUGAAAAACCAAACUGUGCAGAUUUUCUUGCACACCCAACCUCACUGACUACUGCUGGCCACCUAAUACAGGCUAUCCCUGAUUUACAGAACUAGGCUUGUCUCUUCUGUCAGCCUCAUCAUUUUUAUUCAGAAGAAUCAAAACCAAAGAACAAUCAGUGAACCUCAUCAUUAACAUUUAAUUACUGGAAAUACUGCUAAAUUCAAUUAUGGAUAGAGAUAAUAUCAAUAUACUGGCAGCAAUAAUGAACCGGGGAAAAAAUUACCUUGGCAUGUCAUUAAUCCCUGUAGAACUACUAGGGGCUCUAAAAAGUGAGUAUCCUUUUGGUAUAAACUGCCUGGUAAUGUAAUACCUAGUAAAGGAAUAACACCUCAAUGGUUUUAUUAACACACAUACAUUCCAAAGGGCUAAAAGAACACAUUAGUUAGGAAAAUCAUGGCCUAGGACAAUACCUGGGAACAAAUCCAGAGGUUUUUUGAAGCAUUUCAACUGUGCUUUAGUCAACUGUUUCAUCCCCACUUCCCAAUUUAAGCCACUGAGGCCUCAACAAGAUACAGAAAAGAGCAGACAGCUGACUGUUUUCCUAUUUUAACUCUUUAGUUUAACAUCAAGAGUAGAUUUAUCAGUAGAAAAGAAACAAUUCUGAAUCCCUGUGUUUUUAAUGCAUAGUUAGAUUCCACUGCACAUAAGAACAUACACUCUGUCUUGAAGAGUUAAUCUUAUCUGAAAAGCAACAAAAAGGCCUACAGAGAAUCUGACAAUGCAGGAAUAGAGCUGCAGGAAAAAAAAAAACUUGAACAGCUAAUUGAAAAGACUUCUUAAAGAAAGCCAAACAAAAUGAACAGUGAAUAAAAAUUUCCUCAUAGUUGACCAAUACUAAUAUAAUCAAAACCAAACAAAUAAACCUACUGCAACAUCCUCUUCCAAUUUACUAAGUGUUAAUUCUGCAUCAUCUUCUGUUAUUUCUUCUUCUUCUGGCUCUUCUGCUAGGUAUGCUGGCCUGAAAUUAAUUCAAAGAACAGCAGAGCUUUCAAAUGCAAUAAAUUGUAAAUGCCUCUGCAAACAAAACAUUUCAUGAGAAAAAUGGAUAAUAUGGAACAUACCUAGACAGUGAUUAGUGUUUCACAACUUAAAUAAAUAUAUACUCUGCCUUGAAAGUCUAGUUUAUCUUGGACCAUCUAAAAGUAAAGGCAGUACAGUACAGUCAACUACAAAGUCAUCUAGGAGGUAAAUUUUGGUGUUUUUCUCUAUUGGUCUAAGCUCUUAAAAUUCAAGGGCAAGUCACCAUAGGCUUGUUUGCAGCCUACAGUAGAAUUUGUGUACUAAAGAGAAGUAACAGUAAAAUAUUUCCAAGGUAGAAAUUACUUUGCUAUAUCCAUUUCAAAACCCAUUGGAAGAAAAGAAUAAAAUAAAGAACACUUUUAAAGACAUUUUCAUAUAUUUGAGAUUAUCUGUCAUCUAAUUUGUCCUAAGAUUUCCUUUAGAUUAAAUAAAAUUACUCUAGUCUACAUGUAACAUGAUUAUACUGUGCGUAACUCCAGGAAUUUACUACUGAUUGAUAGAACCUAAAAGGACAUUACAUGUUUCAACUCAAAUAUCAGAUUAACAAGGAGUUAUGUGUAGGGAAAUAACAACAACAACAAAAAAAGUAAUCGGUUAAACCUUAAUUAGCUAAGUCUAUAAUGGUCCAAACUCAGCCUUGCAGGUAACAGGUCAGUUGUGUGAAAUUGCAUUAGGAAUUAAUUGGUCAUCCUGCUUCAAGUUGAAUUUUCCAUCUCAUAAAACGUCAAGUAAAAUGGUUUUAGUCAAUCCUAUCUUUUAUCUUACCACUACAACUUACAUCUGUUUGCUGGAAAACAAUGCAUAAGGGAGGAUGCUUAGAAGUGUACUGCACCUUUUCCAGCUAAACCCAGUGUGUUUCAAGGCUUCUUCAGCUAAACAAUCAAGAACAUAGCACACUUGUUCUCCGCAGCCUGCCUUUAAUUUUGAGGGAGGGAAAUCCACAGGCCUUCCCUAAAAUAAAGAGACAAGCUGUUUACUAAUGGCCUAACAACCCGAAUUUCCUGAAAGGGAGAUAAGUUUUGUACACUAAAACCAAAGUGUCCCUUGUGUAUGAGAUUUUAUUAAUGACAAUUUACAUUCUUCUCCUGUGCAGCUCCACUGAGGCAGCAGAAGGAAAAGCAGACGAAGCCAAGGAACAGAUGCAAUGUAGAAAUCUUUAAGCAUAUGGUAAGAGCAUACUCCCAGGUAGCAGAAGAGGCAGAAGCCACAAGGGAUCUGGAUGGUCAAGUCACACAAGUGACAAGGCAAGGUAAGAACAGCUACAGAGAAACUCAAGUAUUGAGACUUAACUAGCAACUUUUCAACAGAGUCCUGUUUAGUUCAGAUUUUACUUAUAAAAUAUUUUAAUUUAUUACUGUCAUCCAGGAUAAACAUAGUAGUUUGAUAUAGUUUAAUAGUUUAGUCCUUUAGAGAACAGUGUCCUUAACAUCAUUCACAGCUACACCAGAGUAUAAACUUCCAUAAGAUAAUACUUCUUGCCAGUUGAUAUAGACUCCUGACCUUUGGAGUUUGGCUUUUUUCCUUCCUUUUUUUUUUAAUUUAAAAAAAUCUCAGUAGUUCCUGGCAGUUUGUACAACCUUUUACUCCUAAAAAAAUAAAUAAAAGUAAAUAAGAAUAAAAAAAAGAAGAAACACAAACACUAAUCUAAACCACUCCGUACACUAUAAAUUAAGUCAUUGACUUUGGCUGGAGCAGGAUCACAAACUUUGUAAACCUUCCAGAUGAAAUCUCUGAAAAUUAUGCUACUACAAAUGAGCAACAUAAGCAGCACUACAAAAAGUAAGCCUGGUUUAAUCAAUUUACAGACUGCAGAACAAAACUAACUGGAAUAAUUUAUAAGACCAUUUCUGUAGUGCUAAAAAAAAUAGCAAGUAGGUACAGCCUAUGUAAACUUCCUAUUAACUAAGUAACAUAGUACAAACUUACAGCUAGAAAAAGUCUGUCCAGUCCUAAGGACCAGACCCAGCAGGAGAACAGUGUGUGACUGCUGUUAUUUCUGAAUGGAAUGCAGGCAUCUGCAACACACUUGGGAAGAGAGCCCGAGUGACACUCACAA
Molecule: long non-coding RNA, 4582 nt
Organism: Motacilla alba alba
Lineage: Eukaryota; Metazoa; Chordata; Aves; Passeriformes; Motacillidae
Exons: 3
Source: RefSeq, a predicted model, not a curated record